This 977-nucleotide long non-coding RNA is filed under the name Cicer arietinum (chickpea). RNAcentral's name for it is "long non-coding RNA (CARI_LNC003351)". Lineage: Eukaryota; Viridiplantae; Streptophyta; Magnoliopsida; Fabales; Fabaceae. The record is from RNAcentral.
GUAUGACUGCUUCCAAGCACAACAUUCCUUCUCUAUAGCUAGCUUUCUAAUUUUCCAUUUUAGUUUCAAUUUUCUUCACACAUCAUUCAAAGACAUUAUGGUGUCCAAAGUGGAAGAAGCAAUGAAGAAACCACAACAGCAUAAUCAGCAGCAGAUACAGAAACAAAUUCAAUGCAACAAAGGAAAAGCUGGAAAGUUCAAAAGGAGCAGCUCCAAUGUGGAAGAAGAUGGUGUUUCUUCUGCCAUUCUCUUUCUAGCUUGCAUAGCUUGUACUCCUUCUUAUGUAUAGCACAUAAAAUCCAAUAAUCUAUGCCUUAAUUAAAACAUCUCCUAUCUCCUCUUCAUCUUUUGCCUUAUUCACAUCUCUUAUCAAUUAGCAAAUUAGAUAAUUAUAUUCAAUUAAUAUCCCUAUUUGUUCUUAUGCAAUUACUAUAGUAUAUACAUAUAUAUAUAUAUUGCCUCUAAACAAUAUAGUUAUCAUGUCAUUGUUCUUUCUAAGUAAGUGUAUAUCAUUAAUAUUUAAUAUUAUUUGUAAUUCAUUUGUGCAAUAUUUCCUCUGUUUCAAGUUUCAAGAAUUAUAUACUUUUUCCCCCAUAAAUAUAUAGUUUAUGAUAUUUGAAAUAGGUUAACUGCAGCUAUGUGACUCACUACUUCAAACAAUAUUCCAAUUGCAAUACAAGUGGAUGAAACAUGUUAGCUCUAUCACCACAACCAGUACUACAGUACUUUAUAUGUAAAAAAACCAAUAUUGAGAUAAAUAAGCCAAGUUAAGUUAAAUAGAAUGUGUUUUCUCUUUUUAUAUUUAUUUUGUCAAACUAGAAAAAGAAAAUAAUCUGUCAAAAAAUAUAAGUAUAAAUUUUACGAAUUUUAUAUUAACAUUAAUUAUAAAAAAUUAACAAAACAAUGAGUAUCAACCAAAAGCAUAAAAUAUAACUACAAAUAUUUUGAUGUUAAUGAUAAAAUAUAAUAAAAAUAAU